CCUACGGGAGGCAGCAGUGGGGGAUAUUGCACAAUGGGGGAAACCCUGAUGCAGCGACGCCGCGUGAGUGAAGAAGUAUUUCGGUAUGUAAAGCUCUAUCAGCAGGGAAGAAAAUGACAGUACCUGACCAAGAAGCCCCGGCUAACUACGUGCCAGCAGCCGCGGUAAUACGGAGGGUGCGAGCGUUAAUCGGAGUUACUGGGCGUAAAGGGCUCGUAGGCGGUAUAGCAAGUCAAGUGUGAAAGUCCCGCGCUCAACGUGGGGACUGCCUUUGAAACUGUCGAACUGGAGUGUGUGAGCGGAUAGUGGAAUUCCAGGUGUAGGAGUGAAAUGCGUAGAUAUCUGGAGGAACAUCAGUGGCGAAGGCGACUAUCUGGAACAUAACUGACGCUGAGGAGCGAAAGCGUGGGGAGCAAACAGGAUUAGAUACCCUUGUAGUC
RNAcentral lists this ribosomal RNA (440 nucleotides) under uncultured bacterium. RNAcentral describes it as "partial 16S ribosomal RNA". It matches the Rfam family "Bacterial small subunit ribosomal RNA", at positions 338 to 795 of the family's 1533-position model. The record is from RNAcentral.